RNAcentral lists this ribosomal RNA (253 nucleotides) under uncultured bacterium. RNAcentral describes it as "partial 16S ribosomal RNA". It matches the Rfam family "Bacterial small subunit ribosomal RNA", at positions 524 to 776 of the family's 1533-position model. The record is from RNAcentral.
UACGUAGGGUGCAAGCGUUGUCCGGAAUUAUUGGGCGUAAAGAGCUCGUAGGCGGUCUGUUGCGUCGGCUGUGAAAACCCGGGGCUCAACCCCGGGCCUGCAGCCGAUACGGGCAAGCUAGAAUUCGGUAGGGGAGACUGGAAUUCCUGGUGUAGCGGUGAAAUGCGCAGAUAUCAGGAGGAACACCGGUGGCGAAGGCGGGUCUCUGGGCCGAUAUUGACGCUGAGGAGCGAAAGCGUGGGGAGCGAACAGG